Molecule: ribosomal RNA, 2925 nt
Filed under: Escherichia coli
Lineage: Bacteria; Pseudomonadati; Pseudomonadota; Gammaproteobacteria; Enterobacterales; Enterobacteriaceae
Description: 23S ribosomal RNA
Rfam family: Bacterial large subunit ribosomal RNA
Source: RNAcentral
GGGUUGUGAGGUUAAGCGACUAAGCGUACACGGUGGAUGCCCUGGCAGUCAGAGGCGAUGAAGGACGUGCUAAUCUGCGAUAAGCGUCGGUAAGGUGAUAUGAACCGUUAUAACCGGCGAUUUCCGAAUGGGGAAACCCAGUGUGUUUCGACACACUAUCAUUAACUGAAUCCAUAGGUUAAUGAGGCGAACCGGGGGAACUGAAACAUCUAAGUACCCCGAGGAAAAGAAAUCAACCGAGAUUCCCCCAGUAGCGGCGAGCGAACGGGGAGCAGCCCAGAGCCUGAAUCAGUGUGUGUGUUAGUGGAAGCGUCUGGAAAGGCGCGCGAUACAGGGUGACAGCCCCGUACACAAAAAUGCACAUGCUGUGAGCUCGAUGAGUAGGGCGGGACACGUGGUAUCCUGUCUGAAUAUGGGGGGACCAUCCUCCAAGGCUAAAUACUCCUGACUGACCGAUAGUGAACCAGUACCGUGAGGGAAAGGCGAAAAGAACCCCGGCGAGGGGAGUGAAAAAGAACCUGAAACCGUGUACGUACAAGCAGUGGGAGCACGCUUAGGCGUGUGACUGCGUACCUUUUGUAUAAUGGGUCAGCGACUUAUAUUCUGUAGCAAGGUUAACCGAAUAGGGGAGCCGAAGGGAAACCGAGUCUUAACUGGGCGUUAAGUUGCAGGGUAUAGACCCGAAACCCGGUGAUCUAGCCAUGGGCAGGUUGAAGGUUGGGUAACACUAACUGGAGGACCGAACCGACUAAUGUUGAAAAAUUAGCGGAUGACUUGUGGCUGGGGGUGAAAGGCCAAUCAAACCGGGAGAUAGCUGGUUCUCCCCGAAAGCUAUUUAGGUAGCGCCUCGUGAAUUCAUCUCCGGGGGUAGAGCACUGUUUCGGCAAGGGGGUCAUCCCGACUUACCAACCCGAUGCAAACUGCGAAUACCGGAGAAUGUUAUCACGGGAGACACACGGCGGGUGCUAACGUCCGUCGUGAAGAGGGAAACAACCCAGACCGCCAGCUAAGGUCCCAAAGUCAUGGUUAAGUGGGAAACGAUGUGGGAAGGCCCAGACAGCCAGGAUGUUGGCUUAGAAGCAGCCAUCAUUUAAAGAAAGCGUAAUAGCUCACUGGUCGAGUCGGCCUGCGCGGAAGAUGUAACGGGGCUAAACCAUGCACCGAAGCUGCGGCAGCGACGCUUAUGCGUUGUUGGGUAGGGGAGCGUUCUGUAAGCCUGUGAAGGUGUGCUGUGAGGCAUGCUGGAGGUAUCAGAAGUGCGAAUGCUGACAUAAGUAACGAUAAAGCGGGUGAAAAGCCCGCUCGCCGGAAGACCAAGGGUUCCUGUCCAACGUUAAUCGGGGCAGGGUGAGUCGACCCCUAAGGCGAGGCCGAAAGGCGUAGUCGAUGGGAAACAGGUUAAUAUUCCUGUACUUGGUGUUACUGCGAAGGGGGGACGGAGAAGGCUAUGUUGGCCGGGCGACGGUUGUCCCGGUUUAAGCGUGUAGGCUGGUUUUCCAGGCAAAUCCGGAAAAUCAAGGCUGAGGCGUGAUGACGAGGCACUACGGUGCUGAAGCAACAAAUGCCCUGCUUCCAGGAAAAGCCUCUAAGCAUCAGGUAACAUCAAAUCGUACCCCAAACCGACACAGGUGGUCAGGUAGAGAAUACCAAGGCGCUUGAGAGAACUCGGGUGAAGGAACUAGGCAAAAUGGUGCCGUAACUUCGGGAGAAGGCACGCUGAUAUGUAGGUGAAGCGACUUGCUCGUGGAGCUGAAAUCAGUCGAAGAUACCAGCUGGCUGCAACUGUUUAUUAAAAACACAGCACUGUGCAAACACGAAAGUGGACGUAUACGGUGUGACGCCUGCCCGGUGCCGGAAGGUUAAUUGAUGGGGUUAGCGCAAGCGAAGCUCUUGAUCGAAGCCCCGGUAAACGGCGGCCGUAACUAUAACGGUCCUAAGGUAGCGAAAUUCCUUGUCGGGUAAGUUCCGACCUGCACGAAUGGCGUAAUGAUGGCCAGGCUGUCUCCACCCGAGACUCAGUGAAAUUGAACUCGCUGUGAAGAUGCAGUGUACCCGCGGCAAGACGGAAAGACCCCGUGAACCUUUACUAUAGCUUGACACUGAACAUUGAGCCUUGAUGUGUAGGAUAGGUGGGAGGCUUAGAAGUGUGGACGCCAGUCUGCAUGGAGCCGACCUUGAAAUACCACCCUUUAAUGUUUGAUGUUCUAACGUUGACCCGUAAUCCGGGUUGCGGACAGUGUCUGGUGGGUAGUUUGACUGGGGCGGUCUCCUCCUAAAGAGUAACGGAGGAGCACGAAGGUUGGCUAAUCCUGGUCGGACAUCAGGAGGUUAGUGCAAUGGCAUAAGCCAGCUUGACUGCGAGCGUGACGGCGCGAGCAGGUGCGAAAGCAGGUCAUAGUGAUCCGGUGGUUCUGAAUGGAAGGGCCAUCGCUCAACGGAUAAAAGGUACUCCGGGGAUAACAGGCUGAUACCGCCCAAGAGUUCAUAUCGACGGCGGUGUUUGGCACCUCGAUGUCGGCUCAUCACAUCCUGGGGCUGAAGUAGGUCCCAAGGGUAUGGCUGUUCGCCAUUUAAAGUGGUACGCGAGCUGGGUUUAGAACGUCGUGAGACAGUUCGGUCCCUAUCUGCCGUGGGCGCUGGAGAACUGAGGGGGGCUGCUCCUAGUACGAGAGGACCGGAGUGGACGCAUCACUGGUGUUCGGGUUGUCAUGCCAAUGGCAUUGCCCGGUAGCUAAAUGCGGAAGAGAUAAGUGCUGAAAGCAUCUAAGCACGAAACUUGCCCCGAGAUGAGUUCUCCCUGACCCUUUAAGGGUCCUGAAGGAACGUUGAAGACGACGACGUUGAUAGGCCGGGUGUGUAAGCGCAGCGAUGCGUUGAGCUAACCGGUACUAAUGAACCGUGAGGCUUAACCUUACAACGCCGAAG